RNAcentral lists this ribosomal RNA (777 nucleotides) under Nidula sp. RNAcentral's name for it is "eukaryotic LSU rRNA". It matches the Rfam family "Eukaryotic large subunit ribosomal RNA", at positions 104 to 864 of the family's 3401-position model. Lineage: Eukaryota; Fungi; Basidiomycota; Agaricomycetes; Agaricales; Nidulariaceae. The record is from RNAcentral.
AAGCUCAAAUUUAAAAUCUGGCUGUCUAUAUGGCAGUCCGAGUUGUAAUCUAGAGAAGUGCUACCCGCGCUGGACCGUGUACAAGUCUCCUGGAACGGAGCAUCAUAGAGGGUGAGAAUCCCGUCUUUGACACGGACUGCCAGGGCUAUGUGGUGCGCUCUCAACGAGUCGAGUUGUUUGGGAAUGCAGCUCAAAAUGGGUGGUAAAUUCCAUCUAAAGCUAAAUAUAGGCGAGAGACCGAUAGCGAACAAGUACCGUGAGGGAAAGAUGAAAAGAACUUUGGAAAGAGAGUUAAACAGUACGUGAAAUUGCUGAAAGGGAAACGCUUGAAGUCAGUCGCGCUGGCCAGGGAUCAACCUCGCUCUUUUGUGAGGCGCACUUUCUGGUCGGUGGGUCAGCAUCAGUUUUGGUUGCUGGAUAAAGGCCUUGGGAAUGUGGCAUCUUCGGAUGUGUUAUAGCCCUUGGUUGGAUACAGUGGCUGGGAUUGAGGAACUCAGCACGCCGCAAGGCCGGGCUUUUAGCCACGUACGUGCUUGGGAUGCUGGCAUAAUGGCUUUAAUCGACCCGUCUUGAAACACGGACCAAGGAGUCUAACAUGCCUGCGAGUAUUUGGGUGGAAAACCCGAGUGCGCAAUGAAAGUGAAAGUUGAGAUCCCUGUCGUGGGGAGCAUCGACGCCCGGACCUGAGGCUUGCUGACGGUUCUGCGGUAGAGCAUGUAUGUUGGGACCCGAAAGAUGGUGAACUAUGCCUGAAUAGGGUGAAGCCAGAGGAAACUC